GUACGUGAAACCGCUCAGAGGUAAACGGGUGGAGUUGAACUGUGAUCUCUGUGAAUUUAGCUGGUGAACGUGGUUUGAACUUGGUCAAAUUGGUUGUUAUUUGGGGUCUGCUUAKCUGCAGGUCUCCGCCUAUGGAGGAGAUGCRCGAGGCACUUAUCAKGUGUUGCGCGCCUCAGGUGAAUCGGACCAGUUCGCCAGUGCAUUUUCACAGAGUGUUCACCACGACCGGCAUCGCUGUCCGGCUGGUAUGGUUAAACCGGUCUUGCAUUGUCCUCGUGGCUUUGCUUGGUCGGGAUGGCAGGUAGCUCUUGGGCUUGCUCGCAGUUCGCUGUGGGUUCAGGUCCUUGAGUGUAAACAGCUGACCGUAUCGGUUCUGUGCAGUAUGUCGGAGACGGCGGCUUGUGGUGUGUGCGUGCGUGCCAGUUGGCUGGCGAGUCCGGGUUUGGUUAUUAUGUUGCCUGUGUUGGCAGGCCUAAUGAUAGCUCGGAUUCGUUCGGCUGACGGUUGCGUGCGUGUCACUUUCCAGGGCCAAUAGUCUGUGGUGUUGCGGUAGACUUUCCACCUGACCCGUCUUGAAACACGGACCAAGGAGAGUAACAUGUACGCGAGUCAUUGGGCGUAACGAAACCCAAAGGCGAAGUGAAAGUAAAGGUCUGGCUUGUCUAGACUGAGGUGAGAUCCUGUCGUUUCUCACACGUGGUAUCCCCAAGUAUCGAACGGCAGGCGCAUCACCGGCCCGUCCCAUGGUGUGGUGACACUUCAGUGUUCGUCAUCGGGGCGGAGCAUGAGCGUACAUGUUGAGACCCGAAAGAUGGUGAACUAUGCUUGCGCAGGUUGAAGCCAGAGGAAACUCUGGUGGAGGACCGCAGCGAUUCUGACGUGCAAAUCGAUCGUCAGACGUGAGUAUAGGGGCGAAAGACU
Molecule: ribosomal RNA, 921 nt
Filed under: Haplorchis pumilio
Lineage: Eukaryota; Metazoa; Platyhelminthes; Trematoda; Opisthorchiida; Heterophyidae
Description: partial large subunit ribosomal RNA
Rfam family: Eukaryotic large subunit ribosomal RNA
Source: RNAcentral